Molecule: ribosomal RNA, 773 nt
Filed under: uncultured bacterium
Lineage: Bacteria
Description: bacterial SSU rRNA
Rfam family: Bacterial small subunit ribosomal RNA
Source: RNAcentral
AAGGUUUGAUCCUGGCUCAGGAUGAAACGCUAGCGGCAGGCUUAAUACNUGCAGCUCGGUGGGGCAGCAGGGGUAGCAAUACCCCGCUGGGGACCGGCAAACGGGGUGCGGGAACACGUACGCAACCUUCCCUUUAACUGGAGAAUAGCCCCCUCGAAAGAGGGAUUAAUACUCCGUAACAUAUAAAUGUGGCAUCACAAAUAUAUUAUAGCUCGGGCGGUUAAAGAUGGGCGUGCGCCUGAUUAGAUAGUUGGCGGGGUAACGGCCCACCAAGUCUGCGAUCAGUAACUGGUGUGAGAGCACGACCAGUCACACGGGCACUGAGACACGGGCCGGACUCCUACGGGAGGCAGCAGUAAGGAAUAUUGGUCAAUGGACGCAAGUCUGAACCAGCCAUGCCGCGUGGAGGAUUAAGGCCCUCUGGGUUGUAAACUCCUUUUAUCUGGGAAGAAAUGCAUUUUUUCUAAAGUGCUUGACGGUACCAGAGGAAUAAGCACCGGCUAACUCCGUGCCAGCAGCCGCGGUAAUACGGAGGGUGCAAGCGUUAUCCGGAUUCACUGGGUUUAAAGGGUGCGUAGGCGGGCAGGUAAGUCCGUGGUGAAAUCUCUGAGCUUAACUCAGAAACUGCCAUGGAUACUAUUUGUCUUGAAUAUUGUGGAGGUAAGCGGAAUAUGUCAUGUAGCGGUGAAAUGCUUAGAUAUGACAUAGAACACCAAUUGCGAAGGCAGCUUACUACACAGUUAUUGACGCUGAGGCACGAAAGCGUGGGGAUC